UUCUGCUUCUUCCACUUGGUCCUGCGGUUCUGGAACCAAAUUUUGACCUGCGUCUCCGUGAGGCUGAGCGACAGCGCCAGGUUCAGGCGUUCGCACACCGACAGGUAGCGCGUGGCUCGAAACUUGUUCUCUAGGGCCACCAGCUGCUCGGCAGCGAGACGCACCGGCGGGAGGGCAGCUCGCGUGAAUUUUUGCGGAUCCAAGAUGUCCAAGACAGAGAAGGAGAUCUUGUGGUGAGAGGGGGCCGCCUUGGCCCCGACGUCCUGCCAUGCCAACAUGCCCGCCUCCCGCGGGCCCGAGGCCAGCCGCACUGGGGUCGGGGCUGGAUGCGCUCAGCCGCUGUCUUCUGCAGUGGUUUGGCCACAGCGCUCCAGCCGCGAACUGGAAUU
RNAcentral lists this long non-coding RNA (389 nucleotides) under Mus spretus (western wild mouse). Its description in RNAcentral is "predicted gene, 16764 (ENSMSPG00010013739.1)". Lineage: Eukaryota; Metazoa; Chordata; Mammalia; Rodentia; Muridae. The record is from RNAcentral.